Molecule: ribosomal RNA, 441 nt
Filed under: uncultured bacterium
Lineage: Bacteria
Description: partial 16S ribosomal RNA
Rfam family: Bacterial small subunit ribosomal RNA
Source: RNAcentral
CUACGGGAGGCACCAGUGGGGAAUAUUGGGCAAUGGGCGCAAGCCUGACCCAGCAACGCCGCGUGAGGGAAGAAGGUUUUCGGAUUGUAAACCUCUGUCCUUGGGGACGAAGAAGUGACGGUACCCAAGGAGGAAGCUCCGGCUAACUACGUGCCAGCAGCCGCGGUAAUACGUAGGGAGCAAGCGUUGUCCGGAAUUACUGGGCGUAAAGGGUGCGUAGGCGGCAUAUUAAGUCAGGUGUGAAAUACUCGGGCUCAACCCGGGGGCUGCAUUUGAGACUGAGAUGCUUGAGUGUGAGAGAGGAAAGUGGAAUUCCUAGUGUAGCGGUGGAAUGCGUAGAUAUUAGGAGGAACACCAGUGGCGAAGGCGACUUUCUGGCUCAUAGCUGACGCUGAGGCACGAAAGCGUGGGGAGCAAACAGGAUUAGAUACCCCUGUAGUC